RNAcentral lists this long non-coding RNA (1225 nucleotides) under Homo sapiens (human). Its description in RNAcentral is "non-protein coding lnc-CDY2A-8:1". The record is from RNAcentral. Lineage: Eukaryota; Metazoa; Chordata; Mammalia; Primates; Hominidae.
GUCCAACUUGCUCCUCAUGUCUGACGUGUUGAGUCAAGAUGAGCUGCGAGAAAAGCUACACCAAACGUUGAAGGAUCGGGGUGUACUGGGCACACUCAAGACACAAAUUCAAAACCAGCUAAUCUAUGAGUAGAUGCACCCUGAAUUGAAUGGAACAUUGCAAUCUCCGUUCAUUUCAGUGCAAGGGAACUCCCUCUUACUAGCAGCCUCUAACUCUUCAGUGGCCGAUCACUAACAAAGAUGUGGCUAUGAGUCUUCACUUUCUGUUUUCUUUCCAGAAAUUGGUUUAGCAAAAGAAAAUGUAUUUACUAUGCAGGAUGGAUUGCACUCAAUAAAAAUCACCGUACUUCAGGUUUCUAGAAAUCACCGGUCUCAGGAUUUGAUAAAGAAAACCAAAAAUCUGACAACCUUCAGCUUAUUGGUGAUCAACUGGCAGAUGCUUAUCCUAAGCAUAUAAAGUUUGAGUCUUUAGAAAUAAAGCUAAAUGAAGAUAAGAGAGAAAUAGAAAAGCAACUUCUGGCAGAAAUGUGUCAAAAGUUGAAGUUUUUUAUGAAAGUUAUAAUAGAGUGUGAGAAGGAAUUAUCUAUGUUCUGAAAUGAUUUUGAGAAAGCUUGUCAAGCGGAAUCUGAAAACUUUAUUCUUUGGAAAAAGAGUACCCUUGAGAGACAUCAAAAGCACCAAGAGAUUGAAACAAGAAAAUCUAUGCUCAAAGCCUUGUUUUACUAAAAGAUAUAGAUUUGUUAAGAGGAAAAAAGGCAAAGCUAAAGCAGAGAGUUGAAGCUUUUGAAUUGAACCCAGGAACUCCAGGAAGAAAAACAUAAAAGCAUGACUGAGGACUUAGGAGAUGGGAGCAGAAUACAAAGUGUCUUGAGGAAACCUAUGACUGAAACCUAAAAAACGUACUUCUAAAAUAUCAACUUCAACUAACGGAUGACUACAUCAUUAGAACUAGUCGAGUGAUUGAAGAGGAAAGGAAGAAUAAAGGAAAAGCUGUUUACUUGCAAGAGGAGCUCACAGUUAGUAAUCCAAAAAAGGAGGAACUCAAUCAAUCUGUAAGUUUUAUGUAAGAACUCCAAAUUGAGUUAAUGUCUGUCAAAGCACAGUCUUUGGCAAUAACAAAACAAAUAUAUUGUGAAUGAAAGUGUUCAAGAGAUAAGUGACUAUUUACUACUAAAGGAAGAAAAACUGGAAGAGAAUAAAAAUAAAAACAUGCAUCUCUUAAACC